Molecule: long non-coding RNA, 1793 nt
Filed under: Ananas comosus (pineapple)
Lineage: Eukaryota; Viridiplantae; Streptophyta; Magnoliopsida; Poales; Bromeliaceae
Description: long non-coding RNA (ACOM_LNC023476)
Source: RNAcentral
AUAUAUAUAUAUAUAUAUAUAGAGAGAGAGAGAGAGAGAGAGAGAGAGAGAGAGAGAGAGAGUUGAGCUAGAAUAUUAUCGGUAGCAAACGGCCGGAUUCCGUUGCUAUCUAUUUGUUUUCGAUGAUGGAGCCUCUAAAUCGAUGGUUGGUAUGUUGAACAUAAUUUGUACCACUUAAAAUAUCUAGAAAUUAAAUCUCAAAUCUUUUUGACACUGUUGACUCAAUGAUUAAAGGGUUGCAAAAUUUAAAACUUUAAUGGUCGAUCGAGGGGUUUGCUCGUUUAAUAGUAUAAACAAGUUUAAAUCAAUUAAAUUUUGAUUAGAAAAUUAUUUAAACUAUUUAAAAUAAAAUCUUUACUCUUUAUCUUGAUUACAGAAAUCAUAUCAUCACUUUUUGAAGAAUAUUUAUCAUCACUUCUGUCAUCAACUUGAUGCACAAAAAAAUAAUAUCGAAUAUAUGUAAUAUUUGAUUUCUAAAUACUCAAGUAGUAUACAUUAUGCUCAAUGAUGCGGAUUGUCAAUUUGAAAGCUCUAUCAUUAAAAAUAAAUCAGUAGCAGCGGGAACCGUUUACUGCCGAUAUUAUUCUAACUCAACUCUAUAUAUAUCUGGCUUGUAAUAGUAUGAAGGCCUUUUUGCUGCCAAAUAAUUUUUGAUGAUGGGACGUCAUCGGCUUCAUUAUAUUUGCUCUAUGCUAUUUUUGGAAGCAUGUAGAAAUUAAAUUUUAUAUUUUUUUUAUAUCAGUUGAUAAGUGAUCAAAAUGUUUCAAAAUUAAUAAUUUUAAUGGCCAACUUGUUGACAGUGUAAAACAAUCUAAAUUAAGUAAAAUUUUGAUAGAAAAUUAUUUAUAUUAUUUAGAGCUAAAACAGUACCUCUGAUAUAAAAUUUAGGUAUUUUAUUAGUAUUUUUUAUAAAAAUUUUAGGGUAAACUUCAAAUACCCCCUUGUGGUUUCACACUUUCUUACUUUAGUACCCUGUGGUUUAAAGUGUAUCAACUUAGCCCCUGUGGUUCCGCACUUUCUCACUUUAGUACCCUGUAAUUUAAAGUGUAUCAAGUUAGUUAGUACCCUGUAGUUUUAUUUUUCUCUUUUUAUUAUCCAUUUCACUAAUUUUUUCGUUAAAUCAGUAACAAAGUUAAAAUCAAAGGGUACUAAAGUGAAUAUUCGAUAAAUCUAGGUAGGGUAUCUGAAGUUUUUUAUAUAUAAUUUAACGAAAUAUUAACGGAGGAAGAAAAGAUAUUAACAAAGUUAAAAGUAACGGGUACUAAAAUAAAUAUUCGAUAAACUUAGGUAGGGUAUCUGAAGUUUUUUAUAUAUAAUUUAACGAAAUAUUAACGGAGGAAGAAAAGAUAUUAACAAAGUUAAAAGUAACGGGUACUAAAAUAAAUAUUCGAUAAACCGGUAUCUAAGGUUUUUUAUAUAUAAUUUAACGAAAAAUUAACGAAGGAAGAAAAGUUAUUAACAAAGUUAAAAGUAAAGGGUACUAAAAUAAAUAUUCGUUAACCGGUAUCUGAGGUUUUUUGUAUAUAAUGUAACGAAAUAUUAACAGAGGAGCCGACGAAAAGAGAAAAAUGAAAUCACAGGGCACUAAAUUGAUGCAUUUUAAACCACAGGGUACUAAAGUGAGAAAGUGCAAAACUACAGAGUACUAAAUUGAUACACUUUAAACCACAUGGUACUGAAAUGAAACAGUGUGAAACCACAGGGUGGUAUUUGAAAUUUUUCUGAAAUUUUAUUCUCAGACGUUUAUUGUGAGACUAUUUAUUAUAUAGAUAAAUAUAUUAUGUGGAAAUGAU